AUAAAAGCAAAAAAUAAAGGUAGUUUGAGAGCGAAUGAUAUGACAAAGUCUUAAACAUAAGGAAUGCACAACAAGUGUUCACGACUUUACUGUACCCACCACAGGCUCACACCUCCGCCGUCUGCUGCAGCACAGACAGACGGACCACGCGUGUCUGCCAGAGCUCAGAAAGAGGAAUUGCCCUGGUAGCAGAAUCCAUUCCGUGCUUUCAAAAAGGAUUACUGCCUGCUGCUGAUGAUGAUUGAAAAUCGAGAUUAUGGAAUGAUCCCCAAAUCUUUAAGUUAUUUAUGGUCAAGACAGUUUUACAGAAUUUACAGAUUCCUUCUGUCCUUCCCACCCCAAUCCUGGUACACUGGGCAGCCAAUAACAGAAAAGUAUUUUGGGGAUACGUGGUGAAAUGUGGUGAAAUCCUUGAAGCAAACAAGUUCUUCGGGGGUUUCUCUAGUUUCCAUCUUGUGUGUCCUUGUCCAGAAAAGUAUUCCAGACAGAAUAUUUUUUGUGCAUUUUCUUAUAUUAGGUCAAUGACUCUUAACUAGUGCUAAUACCUGAAGACGUUUCCCUCCCUUCCCCC
This is a long non-coding RNA of Meleagris gallopavo (turkey), 571 nucleotides long. RefSeq lists it as uncharacterized. The record is from RefSeq and is a predicted model, not a curated record. Lineage: Eukaryota; Metazoa; Chordata; Aves; Galliformes; Phasianidae.